GUCCUAGCCGUAAACGUUGGGUGCUAGGUGUGGGCGGAUAUCGACCCCGUCCGUGCCGAAGCUAACGCAUUAAGCACCCCGCCUGGGGAGUACGGCCGCAAGGCUAAAACUCAAAGGAAUUGACGGGGGCCCGCACAAGCGGCGGAGCAUGUGGCUUAAUUCGAUGCAACGCGAAGAACCUUACCUGGGCUUGACAUGCGGGGUAAAGCCGGCGAAAGCCGGCGCUCUACGGAGCCCGCACAGGUGGUGCAUGGCUGUCGU
This 261-nucleotide ribosomal RNA is filed under the name uncultured bacterium. RNAcentral's name for it is "partial 16S ribosomal RNA". It matches the Rfam family "Bacterial small subunit ribosomal RNA", at positions 793 to 1055 of the family's 1533-position model. The record is from RNAcentral.